GCCAGUUUGGCUCAGUGGAUAGAGCAUUGGCCUGCAGACUGAAGGUCCCAGGUUCAAUUCCUGGUCAGGGCA
Myotis brandtii (Brandt's bat) is the source of this 72-nucleotide non-coding RNA. NCBI's taxonomy places the organism in Eukaryota, Metazoa, Chordata, Mammalia, Chiroptera, Vespertilionidae. The record is from Rfam.